This 55-nucleotide transfer RNA is filed under the name Gnetum gnemon. RNAcentral describes it as "partial tRNA-Phe". It matches the Rfam family "tRNA", at positions 1 to 53 of the family's 71-position model. Rfam says of the family: Transfer RNA (tRNA) molecules are approximately 80 nucleotides in length. The record is from RNAcentral. Lineage: Eukaryota; Viridiplantae; Streptophyta; Gnetopsida; Gnetales; Gnetaceae.
GCCGGGAUAGCUCAGUCGGUAGAGCAGAGGACUGAAAAUCCUCGUGUCACCAGUU